Molecule: ribosomal RNA, 442 nt
Filed under: uncultured bacterium
Lineage: Bacteria
Description: partial 16S ribosomal RNA
Rfam family: Bacterial small subunit ribosomal RNA
Source: RNAcentral
CCUACGGGUGGCAGCAGUGGGGAAUAUUGGGCAAUGGAGGAAACUCUGACCCAGCAACGCCGCGUGAAUGAUGAAGGUCUUCGGAUUGUAAAGUUCUUUUCUACAGGAAGAAAAAAGUGCCGGUACCUUAGGAAUAAGCCUCGCCUAACUACGUGCCAGCGGCCGCGUUAAUACGUAGGAGGCGGGCGUUAUCCGGAAUGACUGGGCGUAAAGGGUGCGUAGGUGGAAUGCCAAGUCAGCGGUAAAAUCGCGGGGCUCAACCUCGCUCCGCCGUUGAAACUGGCGUUCUUGAGUGGGCGAGAAGUAUGCGGAAUGCGUGGUGUAGCGGUGAAAUGCAUAGAUAUCACGCAGAACUCCGAUUGCGAAGGCAGCAUACCGGCGCCCAACUGACGCUGAAGCACGAAAGCGUGGGUAUCGAACAGGAUUAGAUACCCCAGUAGUC